UCAGAUGGCUGGAUGGCCGCGGCCCGCACGGGAAACCAGCGGGUUCGAGGAAAGUCCGGGCUCCAUGGGAACACGGUGCCAGGUAACGCCUGGCGGGGGCAACCCUAGGGAAAGUGCCACAGAAAGCAAACCGCUUCGCUGUUGCGGAGUAAGGGUGAAAGGGUGCGGUAAGAGCGCACCGCCGGCCUGGCGACAGGGCGGGCAUGGUAAACCCCACCGGGAGCAAAACCGAAUAGGGAUGGUCGCCGGGUAAGGCCGGCAGGCGGGUUUUCACGCCACCGUCCGGGUAGGUUGCAGGAGGUUGUCGGCGACGGCAGCCCAAGAUGAAUGGCCAUCCAACGCUUAGGCGUGGACAGAACCCGGCUUACAGGCCAUCUGAUCGA
This 383-nucleotide RNase P RNA is filed under the name Aestuariispira insulae. RNAcentral describes it as "Bacterial RNase P class A". It matches the Rfam family "Bacterial RNase P class A". From Rfam's summary of the family: Ribonuclease P (RNase P) is a ubiquitous endoribonuclease, found in archaea, bacteria and eukarya as well as chloroplasts and mitochondria. The record is from Rfam by way of RNAcentral. Lineage: Bacteria; Pseudomonadati; Pseudomonadota; Alphaproteobacteria; Rhodospirillales; Aestuariispiraceae.